AUAGCGUAUAUUAAAGUUGUUGCAGUUAAAAAGCUCGUAGUUGAAUUUCGGGAUCAAUGCGUCGGUCGUGCCUUCGGUACGUACUAGCGUCGUUGAUUCCUCCCUUCUGAAGAACCGUGAUGUCAUUAAUUUGGUGUUACGGGGAAUCAGGACUGUUACCUUGAAAAAAUUAGAGUGUUUAAAGCAGGCUAACGCUUGAAUACAUUAGCAUGGAAUAAUGAAAUAGGACGUUCGAACCUAUUUUGUUGGUUUCUAGGAUCGACGUAAUGAUUAAUAGGGAUAGUUGGGGGCAUUAGUAUUCAAUUGUCAGAGGUGAAAUUCUUGGAUUUAUUGAAGACUAACUACUG
This 347-nucleotide ribosomal RNA is filed under the name uncultured eukaryote. RNAcentral's name for it is "SSU rRNA". It matches the Rfam family "Eukaryotic small subunit ribosomal RNA", at positions 594 to 945 of the family's 1831-position model. The record is from RNAcentral.